This is an RNA transcript of Telopea speciosissima, 2158 nucleotides long. It is a transcript of the gene named serine/arginine-rich splicing factor SC35-like, with no coding region annotated. The transcript is spliced from 9 exons. The record is from RefSeq and is a predicted model, not a curated record. Lineage: Eukaryota; Viridiplantae; Streptophyta; Magnoliopsida; Proteales; Proteaceae.
UUGUGAGUCUGUGUUGAAAGGGCCUCAAAUCGAAACCCUAACCCUUAUCGCUCAAACAUCGUCUGUUCAGUCGCAGGAAUGUCUCAUUUCGGGAGAUCUGGUCCUCCGGAUAUCAAAGAUACAUACUCUCUUCUCGUUCUCAACAUCACUUUCAGAACCUCUGCAGAUGAUCUCUUCCCGCUGUUCGAUAAGUAUGGGAAGGUGGUUGAUAUCUUUAUACCGAGAGAUAGAAGAACUGGGGAUUCACGUGGGUUCGCUUUUGUUCGAUAUAAGUAUGCCGAGGAGGCACAGAAGGCGGUGGAAAAGCUCGACGGAAGGAAUGUUGAUGGCAGAGAGAUUAUGGUUCAGUUCGCUAAGUAUGGGCCAAAUGCUGAGCCAAUUCGCAAAGGAAGGAUAGUGGAAGUAUUUCCAAAGACGAGAGGCAGGUCUAGAAGCCGAAGCCCCCGCCCAAGGUACCGGGAUGAUUACAGGGAUAGGGAUGUCAAGAGGAGAAGUCGUAGUAGAAGUAAAGGUAGAAAUGAUCGUGACAGGUACCGUCACAAGGAGAGGGAUUAUCGCCAUCGAAGCAGGAGUCGCAGUUUAAGUCCUGAUUACAACCGAGGUCGUGGCAAAGGCAGAAAUGAUGAUGAGGGACGAAGAAGCCGCAGCCGGUCUUAUGAAAGUGCUUCCCCUGCUCGACGUAGUCCUAGUCCUAAACGUAGUCCAUCUCCGAGGAAGACACCUCCAUCUAGGGAUGGAAGUCCUGAUCGACGCAGCCAAGAUGAACGUUCUCCAUCUCCUAGAAGUGUUUCUCCGCGAGGUCGUCCUGCUGCUUCUUUGAGUCCAUCUCCUCGUAAUUCAGAUGCAGAUGAAUAAUGGAGUAGUAUGGCUUGCUAUGGUUCUGAAUGUUGGUGAGUGUACCAUCUGUAGCUGUAUUGCUACUAGAAAAGAGCAUUGUGGGCGUGCUUGUCCUGGUCAAAGUACUAGAUGCUAGUUAUGGUAGUCCUGGACUUCAUUUGAAGUACAGUCAUGGGAGUUGAGACUCGGAUGAAUCAAAUACCUGGGGUUUUAUAAUUAUGAUCGUGAAAAGAAUUAAUGUGGCUGAUUGGCGAGAUCGUGAUUUUGUAGCUGUUGAUGCUGUUUUGUACUUGAUGGAUGAUGUUCGUUUUGAUGAUCGUUGCAAACAACAGUAAUCUGGUGGUUUUCACCUCCUAAAAUGUUAAAAUAAUUUGCUAUGAUGAUCUCAUGAUUGGUAAGAUCCAUGAUUAUAUUUUCUUCUGAAUAGUCUUUAUCCAUCCGGAUUCUGGCAUUUUACCUGACCACAAUCCAUGGUCUUCAAUGGUUGUAAAGUUUUGGGCCCUGAAAGGACUAGUCGUAGCUGUGACGGCCUGAAAGAUGGUCGGAAGGGGAACAUAAUUUACCUGUAGCUGAUGCAGCAAGUGGCUGAACCUCAUAUUCAAACGUUGAUGCUGAGUUAAGAUGAGGCCUAUUUGCUGAGCUGUCCCUUCUAUUAUAACCUAGUCAAGACAGGGUAACAGAUCCAUAGUUGCUUAUUUUGUUUAGGGUCUUGGUUAGACCUCAAGUCAUUUAAUGUCUAGCUUUUAGGGUAUUGACUUCUGUUGCAUCCUGUACUGAGAUGUGAUAGAAUAUGGAGAUGUGGCUGUAGCUGUGAAGCUGUAGCGGAUAUUGGCAUCAUGUACUGCAAUGUUAUAGCACAUGAAGUUGUGGCUGUACCUGUGAAGUGGUAGCCGAUAUCCACAUAAUGCUGCUGUUGAUUGCCUUCCUAGUUGCUGGGGUCGGGUUGAAUCUGGUACUACUGAUUUUGGUGCUGAUCGGCGAUGACUAUUUGGUAUGUCUGGUUGCAAUCUGCUCUAGUAGAUGUGCUGGUAUGCCUGCAUUUAUCUUAUGCAGAUUGGUGUUGGAGCUUUUGUUACUCUGACCGCACUUUAUAUGUAUGGCAACCUUAGAAGCGAAAUUGAAAAUUAUGCUGCUGUUUUCAUUUGAACUGAUGUACAAUCCUUGAUUAGAUGUUUAUACUGCUUGUGUCAAAACAAUUACAUAACCUAUCGUAUUGGAUGUGACACAAAUUAAAAUUAUUUAGUCACACACUUCCUGAUGGUCCAAUGUAGUUGUGUUGCCAUAAUAAAUUGAAUUAAUGAAAAAUGAUUAUUCCAUAUGC